This 644-nucleotide long non-coding RNA is filed under the name Gallus gallus (chicken). The record is from RNAcentral. Lineage: Eukaryota; Metazoa; Chordata; Aves; Galliformes; Phasianidae.
AGACUUUGUGUAAUGACUGGGGGAAAAAGAAAAAAAGAAAGGAAAAAAAGACAAGCAGCUGGGUGAAAGGCUUCAGAGUGGUUUACUUCUGAAGAAUCACUUGCCUGGAUUUCAGCAACUGCCUUUGGGAAGAGCCUGGAACAACACAUCUGCUGACACCCCUGUGUAAUCAAAGGGAGGGUGAGUAUAUUUGGGACUGAUGACCCUGAAAUAGGACUUGGGGGCAUCAUAUGUCCGAGGUAUUUAUAGGAAUCCCAUCUUGGGACUGUAUCUAAUUGCCAAUGUAUCCAUCAAAACUUCGUGUUCCCUUCCUUCCUAGCAUUCCUGUUUGAUCUGUCAGUCCCUCUUGGCCUUUUAACUCCCACAUUUCUUGGUGGGGAUGUGAUAGCUAGCCCAGAUUAAGCCCAGUUCUGGCCUUUCUUUGGGAGGGUGCUGGAGGAAAACAUGAGUUGAACUGAAGCUCCAAUACAGGUCAUCCAAUGCACGGUUUAGAAAUCCGGUUGCAGACUGAACUUAAGCAUUGCUGCUCAGUUCCCUUUCUAUUUUCAAAUUCAUUAUUACAAAGAAAGCCCUGCCAGUCACUGCUCAGGGCAGAAGGCUUCUAACCUGCUUUACCCCACUAUCCCAGCUGUUAGUAACUUAAG